CAAUUGAGGAUGGAAAAAAUUCAGAUUAUCAUGGAUAAUGGAAUGUAGAGAACAGACGUUUUCACAUACUCUUGAUUUCACAGAUAGAAGUUGCAUGUUCUAGGGCGUCGGUUAGAUGAGUUCUGUAUAACCACAUAUUUCCUCAUCUGCACCCCAUUCUUAGAUAAACCACCUAUAAAUAAUGGAAAAUCAAGGAAAUUGGAAAAUCGCUUACUCAAUGAUGGACUUCUGGAUACCUGGUUUUGGCAGAAUGGUGUCCUAGGGCCAGACAAGACAAUCACAUUCACAGCCACUGCCCCUGAAAUCAACUCCCACUGGAUUGCCAUUGCCUUUUCCAUAUCAAACACAAGUGGAUUAUCGGUGGAUUAUACCAGCACUCCGUUUGAAGUGACCUCACCAUUGCAAGUCACCAUAAAUGUACCCAGCGUUACCUUUCUUGGAGAAGAGUUCAUUGUGGAGGCAACUGUCUUCAACAAGCAGACACAGACAGCUCAGGUCCUUGCAAAACUGAUGGAGAAUGAAAACUUCACGAUUCUGUUCCAAAGCAACGGUCUCUCCCCCAAUGAACGAAGCUUGAAUGUGUCUGGACAGAGUUCUGCCACUGCCUUCUUCCCUGUUUCUCUGAAUGUUGACGGCAAAGUUUCCUUCGCUGUAGUUGUCUCCUACCAAAAUGUGGAUUACACAGUGGUGGGAUACACAUUGGUCAAGGUAAGUGUCUGCUAGCGUGCGUGCAUGUUCUCAGAUACAGCUGCAAUGG
Molecule: non-coding RNA, 757 nt
Organism: Petromyzon marinus (sea lamprey)
Lineage: Eukaryota; Metazoa; Chordata; Hyperoartia; Petromyzontiformes; Petromyzontidae
Source: RefSeq, a predicted model, not a curated record